Molecule: unclassified non-coding RNA, 70 nt
Organism: Bison bison bison
Lineage: Eukaryota; Metazoa; Chordata; Mammalia; Artiodactyla; Bovidae
Source: Ensembl
GAGGCACCGAUCCCGCUCCGUCAUCGCCCGCAGAGGCCCGCCUUGGCCACGAGCUCGAAGUCCAAUGCCC